RNAcentral lists this ribosomal RNA (755 nucleotides) under uncultured Mycoplasma sp. Its description in RNAcentral is "bacterial SSU rRNA". It matches the Rfam family "Bacterial small subunit ribosomal RNA", at positions 28 to 776 of the family's 1533-position model. The record is from RNAcentral. Lineage: Bacteria; Bacillati; Mycoplasmatota; Mollicutes; Mycoplasmatales; Mycoplasmataceae.
GAUGAACGCUCGCUGUGUGCCUAAUACAUGCAUGUUGAGCGGGAUGUAGCAAUACAUUCAGUAGCGAAUGGGUGAGUAACACGUACCUAACCUACCUUUAAGACUGGGAUAACUAUUGGAAACAAUAGCUAAUACCGGAUAUAGUUAUUUAUCGCAUGAUGAGUAAUAGAAAGGAGCUUCACAGCUUCACUUAAAAAUGGGGGUGCGGAACAUUAGUUAGUUGGUAGGGUAAUGGCCUACCAAGACGAUGAUGUUUAGCCGGGCCGAGAGGCUGUACGGCCACACUGGGACUGAGAUACGGCCCAGACUCCUACGGGAGGCAGCAGUAAGGAAUUUUCCACAAUGAGCGAAAGCUUGAUGGAGCGACACAGCGUGCAGGAUGAAGUUCUUCGGAAUGUAAACUGCUGUUAUAAGGGAAGAAAAAAUAGAAUAGGAAAUGAUUUUAUCUUGACGGUACCUUAUUAGAAAGCGACGGCAAACUAUGUGCCAGCAGCUGCGGUAAUACAUAGGUCGCAAGCGUUAUCCGGAAUUAUUGGGCGUAAAGCGUCCGUAGGUUUUUUGCUAAGUCUGGAGUUAAAUGCUGAAGCUCAACUUCAGUCCGCUUUGGAUACUGGCAAAAUAGAAUUAUAAAGAGGUUAGCGGAAUUCCUAGUGAAGCGGUGGAAUGCGUAGAUAUUAGGAAGAACACCAAUAGGCGAAGGCAGCUAACUGGUUAUAUAUUGACACUAAGGGACGAAAGCGUGGGGAGCAAACAGG